RNAcentral lists this ribosomal RNA (163 nucleotides) under Genista cf. monspessulana AK-2011. Its description in RNAcentral is "5.8S ribosomal RNA". It matches the Rfam family "5.8S ribosomal RNA". From Rfam's summary of the family: 5.8S ribosomal RNA (5.8S rRNA) is a component of the large subunit of the eukaryotic ribosome. It is transcribed by RNA polymerase I as part of the 45S precursor that also contains 18S and 28S rRNA. The record is from RNAcentral. Lineage: Eukaryota; Viridiplantae; Streptophyta; Magnoliopsida; Fabales; Fabaceae.
AAGACUCUCGGCAGCGGAUAUCUCGGCUCUUGCAUCGAUGAAGAACGUAGCGAAAUGCGAUACUUGGUGUGAAUUGCAGAAUCCCGUGAACCAUCGAGUCUUUGAACGCAAGUUGCACCCGAAGCCAUUAGGCUGAGGGCACGCCUGCCUGGGUGUUGCACAU